Molecule: ribosomal RNA, 518 nt
Filed under: uncultured Bacteroidota bacterium
Lineage: Bacteria; Pseudomonadati; Bacteroidota
Description: bacterial SSU rRNA
Rfam family: Bacterial small subunit ribosomal RNA
Source: RNAcentral
UCGAGGGGUAUUUGUCUUCGGACAGAGAGACCGGCGCACGGGUGCGUAACGCGUAUGCAAUCUACCUUUCACAGAGGGAUAGCCCAGAGAAAUUUGGAUUAAUACCUCAUAGUAUAUAGCCCUGGCAUCAGGAUUAUAUUAAAGUCACAACGGUGAAAGAUGAGCAUGCGUCCCAUUAGCUAGUUGGUAAGGUAACGGCUUACCAAGGCUACGAUGGGUAGGGGUCCUGAGAGGGAGAUCCCCCACACUGGUACUGAGACACGGACCAGACUCCUACGGGAGGCAGCAGUGAGGAAUAUUGGACAAUGGGCGCAAGCCUGAUCCAGCCAUGCCGCGUGCAGGAUGGCGGUCCUAUGGAUUGUAAACUGCUUUUAUACAGGAAGAAACACUCCCUCGUGAGGGAGCUUGACGGUACUGUAAGAAUAAGGAUCGGCUAACUCCGUGCCAGCAGCCGCGGUAAUACGGAGGAUCCAAGCGUUAUCCGGAAUCAUUGGGUUUAAAGGGUCCGUAGGCGGUUU